UACGGAGGGUGCAAGCGUUAUCCGGAUUCACUGGGUUUAAAGGGUGCGUAGGAGGGCAGGUAAGUCAGUGGUGAAAUCUCCAAGCUUAACUUGGAACUGCCGUUGAUACUAUCUGUCUUGAAUAUUGUGGAGGUGAGCGGAAUAUGUCAUGUAGCGGUGAAAUGCUUAGAUAUGACAUAGAACACCAAUUGCGAAGGCAGCUCACUACUCAAUCAUUGACUCUGAGGCACGAAAGCGUGGGAUCAAACAGG
Molecule: ribosomal RNA, 251 nt
Filed under: uncultured bacterium
Lineage: Bacteria
Description: partial 16S ribosomal RNA
Rfam family: Bacterial small subunit ribosomal RNA
Source: RNAcentral